UGGGGAAUUUUGGACAAUGGGCGAAAGCCUGAUCCAGCAAUGCCGCGUGUGUGAAGAAGGCCUUCGGGUUGUAAAGCACUUUUGUCCGGAAAGAAAUCCUUGGCUCUAAUACAGUCAGGGGAUGACGGUACCGGAAGAAUAAGCACCGGCUAACUACGUGCCAGCAGCCGCGGUAAUACGUAGGGUGCAAGCGUUAAUCGGAAUUACUGGGCGUAAAGCGUGCGCAGGCGGUUUGCUAAGACCGAUGUGAAAUCCCCGGGCUCAACCUGGGAACUGCAUUGGUGACUGGCAGGCUAGAGUAUGGCAGAGGGGGGUAGAAUUCCACGUGUAGCAGUGAAAUGCGUAGAGAUGUGGAGGAAUACCGAUGGCGAAGGCAGCCCCCUGGGCCAAUACUGACGCUCAUGCACGAAAGCGUGGGGAGCAAACAGGAUUAGAUACCCUGGUAGUCCACGCCCUAAACGAUGUCAACUAGUUGUUGGGGAUUCAUUUCCUUAGUAACGUAGCUAACGCGUGAAGUUGACCGCCUGGGGAGUACGGUCGCAAGAUUAAAACUCAAAGGAAUUGAC
Molecule: ribosomal RNA, 566 nt
Filed under: uncultured bacterium
Lineage: Bacteria
Description: partial 16S ribosomal RNA
Rfam family: Bacterial small subunit ribosomal RNA
Source: RNAcentral